AACUAAACUCAAUUAUACUAUUAAAAACCACAAAAACAGUAGAAAACCAAUACACCUCAAGCAAGCAAGAAGAGCAAGGAAAAGAUAUCUUGAAUGGCUCGUGUGGUUUCAAACCCUUUAGGACUCCAUAGAUUCCGGCCAUAUCUUCAUGGCUCAUAUGGCUUCAAAACCUCUUUUCACUUUCAAAGUAAACCUCGUAAAUUCCCAACUGUAGUAAUAGCUUGCCAAACAGAACCGAAACCCACUGAAACCUCCACAACUGAUAAGGCUCUUGUUGAACCCACUUCCUCAAUAAGUUAUACUAAAGGUGAUGUUGAGGUUUCAAGUUCGUCACCGGUUUCUGGGUUGCCUGAAUUUCCAAAUAAAGAUGUAAAUAAGCAAAUAGGAGUCAUUUCUGUUCUUGCUGCUGUGGGUCUUUUCUUAUCUGCAAGGUUGGAUUUUGGUGUUUCUUUGAAGGAUCUCUCUGCUGCUGCUGUUCCUUAUGAAGAGGCUCUCUCCAAUGGGAAACCCACUGUUGUCGAGUUCUAUGCUGAUUGGUGUGAAGUAUGUCGAGAGCUAGCUCCAGAUGUUUACAAAGUCGAGCAGCAGUUCAAGGAUAGGGUUAAUUUUGUUAUGCUGAAUGUUGACAACACGAAAUGGGAACAAGAGCUUGAUGAGUUUGGUGUUGAGGGUAUUCCACAUUUUGCAUUCCUUGACAAAGAAGGGAACGAGGAGGGUAAUGUAGUUGGUAGAUUUCCCAGGCAGUACCUCCUUGAGAAUGUGGAUGCUCUUGCCCGUGGGAAAGCAAGUGUUCCUCAUGCUCGUGUUGUUGGACAAUACUCAAGUGCUGAAUCCAGGAAGGUGCACCAAGUUGUUGAUCCUAGAAGUCAUGGAUAGAUGAUAUUUCUAGUUGAAAAUAACCCGAGGGCUUUACUCCCGAAUUACAGGUACAAGGUUGAAAUUCAAAAUCGAACUUGACUAACUGUCCUUGUUCAUUGCCUAGAAUCAAUUGUUACCUUCUGCAAAUUUAUACAUUUUCUACAGGUGCAUCGUGCCACAGAUUAUCCAUUUUAUACUUACAGUAGCCAUCUUCAUUGCAUACUCUCACUAUUUUGGAAUCUUUUCUAUGUUCAAGUCCUAGACGGGAUCUCUUUGUAAUUAAUCUUCUUUACAGCCGAGAGCAUUUUUUUUGCAACAUGGAUAAUUGGAUAUUAAUCUUUGUUAUAAACCAGAGCAUUCUUA
Ricinus communis (castor bean) is the source of this 1221-nucleotide RNA transcript. It is a transcript of the gene named thioredoxin-like protein HCF164, chloroplastic, with no coding region annotated. NCBI's taxonomy places the organism in Eukaryota, Viridiplantae, Streptophyta, Magnoliopsida, Malpighiales, Euphorbiaceae. The transcript is spliced from 6 exons. The record is from RefSeq and is a predicted model, not a curated record.